This is a long non-coding RNA of Myodes glareolus (Bank vole), 837 nucleotides long. RefSeq lists it as uncharacterized. Lineage: Eukaryota; Metazoa; Chordata; Mammalia; Rodentia; Cricetidae. The record is from RefSeq and is a predicted model, not a curated record.
GUGACUGUGGUAACGGCUGAUUCUUGUGGACUGGACUAGAACGUCGCGGAGAAUGAAAGGGUCGAGGUGCAGAGGCCUUGGCGGACUCAUUUUUGUAGGUGAUGUCGUCUUCAGUGCUGGCAAAGAGUAAAAUAGAGCCAGUGCAAGCCACGAGCCCAAGUCAGGCGUUCUCAAGCUGGAGUGCAUCAUCUCAAAAACAGCUACCGCGCUUCGCCGGCGUACAGAGGAGCGAACCGGCCGACGGAGGAUAGAGACUAGGCUUCUGUAUAGUUUUACCAUAUCCUCGGGGGAUUUGAAUUCUACAACAAAAUUUGAAGCCCACUUCCUAAAACUUAGUGGAGAGAGGUAACUGAUGAACCCAUCCAUAACAAAAGAGGUAACUGAGGAACCCGUCCAUAUCAAAAUCUACCGGAAGAAAGGGGGAGACUGUAGUUGAGAGCCCUAAGGAAGCAAACUUUUGUUAAAAAGUGGGUGUCGGUAGGCAAACAAGGCCUAUUUGGGACUUAUCUGGGACCAGCAGACGAGAAGAAAGUCAGCCCGGAUCCUUGGGCCCAGGCUGGCGGAAGGACAGCCAGGUGACGGGGUGGUGCCGGGUGUGUGGGCCUCCCGGAAUGGUUCUUAUGCCAUGGAAAGACACGUAAAAGAAGAAAGGUGGAUGAAGGUUAGCAUAAUCACUGGGAGAAGUCAAAGGUGACUUUGGCAGGGCAUGGACUUGGCGUAUCAACCCAGUUGGUGCUGUAAUGCCAUGGACAGAGGAAAGAAAGACUGGAGAUGUUUGAAAUGACCGCACAAGAGACAAAGGGGGACAUGAAAAUAAUAAACCGCUCCCUAUGGAAA